CCCGGGCGCCCAACCUCCCACCCGUGACUACCUAACACUGUUGCUUCGGCGGGGAGCCCUCUCGGGGGCGAGCCGCCGGGGACUACUGAACUUCAUGCCUGAGAGUGAUGCAGUCUGAGUCUGAAUAUAAAAUCAGUCAAAACUUUCAACAAUGGAUCUCUUGGUUCCGGCAUCGAUGAAGAACGCAGCGAACUGCGAUAAGUAAUGUGAAUUGCAGAAUUCAGUGAAUCAUCGAGUCUUUGAACGCACAUUGCGCCCCCUGGCAUUCCGGGGGGCAUGCCUGUCCGAGCGUCAUUGCUGCCCAUCAAGCCCGGCUUGUGUGUUGGGUCGUCGUCCCCCCCGGGGGACGGGCCCGAAAGGCAGCGGCGGCACCGUGUCCGGUCCUCGAGCGUAUGGGGCUUUGUCACCCGCUCGAUUAGGGCCGGCCGGGCGCCAGCCGACGUCUCCAACCAUUUUCUUCAGGUUGACCUCGGAUCAGGUAGGGAUACCCGCUGAACUUAAGCAUAUCAAAAGCCGGAGGAA
Molecule: ribosomal RNA, 522 nt
Filed under: Aspergillus sp. HDN13-346
Lineage: Eukaryota; Fungi; Ascomycota; Eurotiomycetes; Eurotiales; Aspergillaceae
Description: eukaryotic LSU rRNA
Rfam family: 5.8S ribosomal RNA (bases 141-294)
Source: RNAcentral